RNAcentral lists this ribosomal RNA (416 nucleotides) under uncultured bacterium. RNAcentral's name for it is "bacterial SSU rRNA". It matches the Rfam family "Bacterial small subunit ribosomal RNA", at positions 152 to 559 of the family's 1533-position model. The record is from RNAcentral.
CGAAAGGAACGCUAAUACCGCAUACGUUCUGAGGAAGAAAGCAGGGGGAUCGUAAGACCUUGCGCUAUUAGAUGAGCUUGCGUCCGAUUAGCUAGUUGGUGGGGUAAAGGCCUACCAAGGCGACGAUCGGUAACUGGUCUGAGAGGAUGAUCAGUCACACUGGAACUGAGACACGGUCCAGACUCCUACGGGAGGCAGCAGUGGGGAAUAUUGGACAAUGGGGGCAACCCCUGAUCCAGCCAUGCCGCGUGUGUGAAGAAGGCCUUCGGGUUGUAAAGCACUUUAAGCGGGGAGGAAGGCCUGAUGGCUAAUAUCCAUCGGGAUUGACGUUACCCGCAGAAUAAGCACCGGCAAACUUCGUGGCCAGCAGCCGCGGUAAUACGAAGGGUGCCGAGCGUUAAUCGGAAUUACUGGGC